This 430-nucleotide ribosomal RNA is filed under the name uncultured bacterium. RNAcentral's name for it is "bacterial SSU rRNA". It matches the Rfam family "Bacterial small subunit ribosomal RNA", at positions 917 to 1344 of the family's 1533-position model. The record is from RNAcentral.
GGGCCCGCACAAGCGGUGGAGCAUGUGGCUUAAUUCGAGGCAACGCGAAGAACCUUACCUGGUCUUGACAUGCCCGUCAUAGUUUUCCGAAAGGAAUUCGUCAGUUCGGCUGGACGGUGCACAGGUGCUGCAUGGCUGUCGUCAGCUCGUGUCGUGAGAUGUUCGGUUAAGUCCGGCAACGAGCGCAACCCUCGUUCCUAGUUGCCAGCGGGUAAUGCCGGGGACUCUAGGAAGACAAACCUCGUGUAGAGGUGGGAAGGUGGGGACGACGUCAAGUCAGUAUGGCCCUUACGACCAGGGCUGCACACGUGCUACAAUGCCCGGUACAAUGGGAUGCAAUACCGCGAGGUUGAGCCAAUCCACAAAACCGGGCCCAGUUCGGAUUGGAGUCUGCAACUCGACUCCAUGAAGUUGGAAUCGCUAGUAAUGG